GACGAACCGUGCGAACGUUAUUCGGAAUCACUGGGCUUAAAGCGCGUGUAGGCGGGACGGCACGUCGGUCGCUGAAAGCCCCCGGCUCAACCGGGGAACGGGCGCCGAUACGACCGGCCUGGAGGGACGUAGGGGGACCUGGAACUUCCGGUGUAGAGGUGAAAUUCGUAGAUAUCGGGAGGAACACCAGUGGCGAAGGCGGCGACCUGGACGGACACUGACGCUGAGACGCGAAAGCGUGGGGAGCAAACAGG
This 254-nucleotide ribosomal RNA is filed under the name uncultured bacterium. Its description in RNAcentral is "partial 16S ribosomal RNA". It matches the Rfam family "Bacterial small subunit ribosomal RNA", at positions 524 to 776 of the family's 1533-position model. The record is from RNAcentral.